This 301-nucleotide ribosomal RNA is filed under the name uncultured bacterium. RNAcentral's name for it is "partial 16S ribosomal RNA". It matches the Rfam family "Bacterial small subunit ribosomal RNA", at positions 509 to 809 of the family's 1533-position model. The record is from RNAcentral.
CAGUAGCCACGGGAAUACGUAGGGUGCGAGCGUUAAUCGGAAUUACUGGGCGUAAAGCGUGCGCAGGCGGUUUUGUAAGACAGGCGUGAAAUCCCCGGGCUCAACCUGGGAACGGCGCUUGUGACUGCAAAGCUAGAGUGCGGCAGAGGGGGAUGGAAUUCCGCGUGUAGCAGUGAAAUGCGUAGAUAUGCGGAGGAACACCGAUGGCGAAGGCAAUCCCCUGGGCCUGCACUGACGCUCAUGCACGAAAGCGUGGGGAGCAAACAGGAUUAGAUACCCCCGUAGUCCCUGUCUCUUAUAA